AGAGUUUGAUCAUGGCUCAGAUUGAACGCUGGCGGCAGGCCUAACACAUGCAAGUCGAACGGUAACAGGAAGCAGCUUGCUGCUUUGCUGACGAGUGGCGGACGGGUGAGUAAUGUCUGGGAAACUGCCUGAUGGAGGGGGAUAACUACUGGAAACGGUGGCUAAUACCGCAUAACGUCGCAAGACCAAAGAGGGGGACCUUCGGGCCUCUUGCCAUCAGAUGUGCCCAGAUGGGAUUAGCUUGUUGGUGAGGUAACGGCUCACCAAGGCGACGAUCCCUAGCUGGUCUGAGAGGAUGACCAGCCACACUGGAACUGAGACACGGUCCAGACUCCUACGGGAGGCAGCAGUGGGGAAUAUUGCACAAUGGGCGCAAGCCUGAUGCAGCCAUGCCGCGUGUAUGAAGAAGGCCUUCGGGUUGUAAAGUACUUUCAGCGGGGAGGAAGGUGUUGUGGUUAAUAACCGCAGCAAUUGACGUUACCCGCAGAAGAAGCACCGGCUAACUCCGUGCCAGCAGCCGCGGUAAUACGGAGGGUGCAAGCGUUAAUCGGAAUUACUGGGCGUAAAGCGCACGCAGGCGGUCUGUCAAGUCGGAUGUGAAAUCCCCGGGCUCAACCUGGGAACUGCAUUCGAAACUGGCAGGCUUGAGUCUUGUAGAGGGGGGUAGAAUUCCAGGUGUAGCGGUGAAAUGCGUAGAGAUCUGGAGGAAUACCGGUGGCGAAGGCGGCCCCCUGGACAAAGACUGACGCUCAGGUGCGAAAGCGUGGGGAGCAAACAGGAUUAGAUACCCUGGUAGUCCACGCCGUAAACGAUGUCUACUUGGAGGUUGUGCCCUUGAGGCGUGGCUUCCGGAGCUAACGCGUUAAGUAGACCGCCUGGGGAGUACGGCCGCAAGGUUAAAACUCAAAUGAAUUGACGGGGGCCCGCACAAGCGGUGGAGCAUGUGGUUUAAUUCGAUGCAACGCGAAGAACCUUACCUGGUCUUGACAUCCACGGAAGAAUUCAGAGAUGGAAUUGUGCCUUCGGGAACCGUGAGACAGGUGCUGCAUGGCUGUCGUCAGCUCGUGUUGUGAAAUGUUGGGUUAAGUCCCGCAACGAGCGCAACCCUUAUCCUUUGUUGCCAGCGGUCCGGCCGGGAACUCAAAGGAGACUGCCAGUGAUAAACUGGAGGAAGGUGGGGAUGACGUCAAGUCAUCAUGGCCCUUACGACCAGGGCUACACACGUGCUACAAUGGCGCAUACAAAGAGAAGCGACCUCGCGAGAGCAAGCGGACCUCAUAAAGUGCGUCGUAGUCCGGAUUGGAGUCUGCAACUCGACUCCAUGAAGUCGGAAUCGCUAGUAAUCGUGGAUCAGAAUGCCACGGUGAAUACGUUCCCGGGCCUUGUACACACCGCCCGUCACACCAUGGGAGUGGGUUGCAAAAGAAGUAGGUAGCUUAACCUUCGGGAGGGCGCUUACCACUUUGUGAUUCAUGACUGGGGUGAAGUCGUAACAAGGUAACCGUAGGGGAACCUGCGGUUG
RNAcentral lists this ribosomal RNA (1522 nucleotides) under Salmonella enterica subsp. enterica serovar Schwarzengrund. RNAcentral's name for it is "bacterial SSU rRNA". It matches the Rfam family "Bacterial small subunit ribosomal RNA". Lineage: Bacteria; Pseudomonadati; Pseudomonadota; Gammaproteobacteria; Enterobacterales; Enterobacteriaceae. The record is from RNAcentral.